CAUGAGCCACUGACCCUAGUCAAGCCAAUAUUUUUCAAACUGUGAGUUUGAAAUUGGUCAUCAAAUCAACUUAAUGGAUCACAACCAACAUUUUAAAAAAUAAAAUACACUAGAACUGAAGAUAUCACAAUUCCUUGAACAUAGUAAGGGCAAGUAUUAUUCUGUAAAACUUAUCUUGGUCAAUAUACAGUAUCUAGCAAUCAGGUGGCAAGACAAAAUGUAUUCCUCAUUGGGGUUUAUUGUACACAUUUUUGGAAAAGCAUUGUGUUAGGCCAGAGAUUGGCAAACGUUUCCUGUAAAGAGUCCAGUGGUAAAUAUUUUAGGCUUUGUAGGACAUAAAAACUAUUGAACUCUGAUUUUGUAGUGUGAAAGUAGCCACAGACAUUAUGUGCACAAAUAAGCAGGGCCAUGUUAUAAUAAAACUUUAUUAACAAAAUCAGGUUGUGGGGCUAGAUUUGGCCUGUGGGUGGUAGUUUGCCAAGCCCUGCGCUAGACUGUUGUCUAGCCUGUGACUAUGUUUCAUAUGUGUAAAUUCCCUUUAUACAGGAGCUAUGUCUUUUUCAUCUCUGAAUCUUAACCAUGAGUGUGUCAUCCCAGCAUCUAACCCAUUGAUUAAAUAUAACAAAUGUUCAUGAAAUGUUUGCCAAUAUAUUCAAUGAACAUUUAUUGACUCCUUAACUCCAAACAGCUUGGCACCAAAUCCAUCAGUAUUUGUUGAAUGAAUGUAAGAGCCAUGUCUUAGUCUGUCUGGGCUGCCAUAACAAAAUAUCUUAGACUGGAUAAUUCAGAAAUUUAUUGCUGACAGCUCUGCAGGCUGGGAAGUCCAAGAUCUAGGUGUCAGCAGAUCAGUGUCUGAUGAGGGCUUUAUAGAUGGUGACUUUUGCUGCAUUCUCACACAGCGGAAGGGGCAAGGGAGCUCCCUCACACCUCCUACGUAAGGGCACUGAUCCUAUUCACGUGGGCAGAGUCCUCAUGACUUAAUCACUUCCCAGAGGAACCACCUCUUAAUACUAUCACAUUGGGUAUUAGGUUCCAACAUAUGAACCUAAUAAUAUGUUUAGGAAGACACCAACAUUCAGACCAUGGCAAGCCAUUAGUCUCAAAUUCUCAAAAGCCUUUGCCCCUCCUCCAACCCUUCUGAAGAUCAGGACUCAGAGCUCAAAGGUGUCCUUGCCCCAGCCGCUUGGGUCACUUGCUGCCAGGGGCCAGAAGGGGUGGUGGGAAGGUGAUGGGAACAACAGGGUUUGAUGGACUGUUUGGGGAACUGUCUAAUUAUCCUGCUUAUCAGUGCUGGUUCCUUUUCUUAGCUCUUUCCCUUAAUAAAUGAAAACUCCUUCUGUUGUUAUUGAGCUCCCGGGUCACUGAUUCUUUUGAGUCAUAUAAACCACAUGUUUAUAGAGUUACAGUGUGACCGUGAAAUUGAAUGGAGGGGAAGGGAGGCACCAGAGAAGUGUCAGCCUUGAAAGGCAACACUUUCUCUUCCCAGGCUUCUGCUCAUUGUGUAGGGCAAAGGACAGGGCUUUCCGCUGUCCAGGGCCCUGGCCUAGGCGGGGAGGGGAGCUGAGGUCACUGGGUACAGCUUGUGCGUCCACAGAGCUUACAGCCUGGUUGGGGAGGGAGAUGGCCAGGCUCAGAGUUGAAGAUGACCUAGAUCAUGCGUCAACAAACUAUGGCCUGAGGGCCAAAGCCAGCGCACCACCCGUUUUUGUACAGCCCAUGGGUUAAGAAGAGUUUUCAAAAUUUUAAACAGCAGUCUCCCCUUAUCCAUGGUUUCACCUUCUGUGGUUUCAGUUACUUGCAGUCAACCAUGGCCCAAAAAUAGCUACGAUCAGUGACCAUGGACUCAUAAGGCUUUUGUUUAAGAAUUGCCUAAGAUGUUCUUCAGAUCCUGAAUUCCAGCAGGAAAGCUAAUGCCAACCAGUUUGAAAACAACCACAGAGGAAUCGAAUCAGCACGAGAAUGCAGUUUCUUCAUUUCCCUGUCCCAUGACUUUACUCUGCACUCUUUGACCAAUCAAUAAUCCUGGACCUUGGCCCACUUCAAACCCCUUGAAAUCUCUAGCUCCAACUCCCUGGAGGGGUGGAUUUGAGGUUUCCUCCUGUUUCCUUGUUUGGCUGCCGUAUGAUUAUUAAACUCUUUCUUUGCUGCAAUCCCUGUUGCCUUGGUUUAUUGACUUACUGUGCAUCGGGCAAACAAACCUAUUAUGAUGACAUCAUGACGCAAUAUCCACCUCAAAGGACUGCUGGGAGCCUCAAAAAUUUACAAAUUUGUGAAUUGUAUGUGACUGUCUGAUGCCGGGGAGCAGCAAGGAGCUUUUGGUGAUUGGAGUGCGGUUUAAGUGACUGGCACUGGUGGUUACUGCUGGCCCCAGGGAGUGUGAGGCUAGCAGGAUGACCCAGAUUUCCCAAACCAGGCCAGGGCUCUUUCCAGUGAACCAAGGAUGAUGUGAAGAUGCAGGAGGUGGCAGAGGAAGAUCUCAGAAUAUCACUUAGGAAGACUAGACAGCACUUCAGCACUACACUUCGAGGGCAUUUUAAACAGUGAAAUCAUCAACAAAAAGCACAAAAAUGCAUAAGUGUGGCACCAAAUAGACUGCAAGAAGGACACUUGUUUACGGUUUGAGAGCUGAAACCAGGAGACAGAGUGUUAUCUUAUUUGACUCAAAUUUUUCACCACUCUGAGCAGGUCCGUGAAUGGCCACAAAACUGCUGCGAGAUUUCAUUUUGGGGCUACAAAGGAAUUUUUGCAAGUAGAUGAAUUGGCAAACAUGGAGUCUGUGAAUGAUGAGGAUGGACUGUGUAUGUUGCAUUUGUGGAGAGGACAACUUCAUUGCAGAGGAUGUGUAAAGGGAGCACAGUGCCUAAAGUCUUCAUUAAGGUGUAGGGGACUGAUGUAUCCCCUCCCGAGGGCCCACUGUGCUCAAGAGAAGCAGAGAAUACGCCGGGAGCGGUGGCUCACGCCUGUAAUCCCAGCACUUUGGGAGGCUGAGGCAGGUGGAUCACGAGGUC
Molecule: long non-coding RNA, 3008 nt
Filed under: Homo sapiens (human)
Lineage: Eukaryota; Metazoa; Chordata; Mammalia; Primates; Hominidae
Description: HSALNT0405784
Source: RNAcentral